This 208-nucleotide ribosomal RNA is filed under the name uncultured bacterium. Its description in RNAcentral is "partial 16S ribosomal RNA". It matches the Rfam family "Bacterial small subunit ribosomal RNA", at positions 568 to 774 of the family's 1533-position model. The record is from RNAcentral.
AGCGCAGGUGGUUUAUUAAGUCUGGUGUAAAAGGCAGUGGCUCAACCAUUGUAUGCAUUGGAAACUGGUAGACUUGAGUGCAGGAGAGGAGAGUGGAAUUCCAUGUGUAGCGGUGAAAUGCGUAGAUAUAUGGAGGAACACCGGUGGCGAAAGCGGCUCUCUGGCCUGUAACUGACACUGAGGCUCGAAAGGCGUGGGGAAGCAAACA